CCUGUUCGUUUGGAGGUCGCUAGCGUCAGCGACCAACUUCAGCGACUAAACGUUGUUCGUUUACCAGUCGCGGACUCAGCGACUGAUCGCAGCGACCAGACGCUAGCGACCCGCGAUUAAAAAUUUUGAUCGCCGAAAAAUUCAGCGUUUUCGACCAAAAAUCUGCGAUCAAAAAAAAAAAUUUCAAAAUACAAAAACACCCUCAAUCUAUCUUCAAAAUUACAAAACAAUACCCUCAACCUAAAACUUUCUCAAGCCUCAGCUCUCUCUCUCUCUCUCUCUCUCUCUCUCUUCGCCAUCUCUCAAGUCUCUCUUCUCUCACGCCUCAGCUCUCUCUCUCUCUCUCUCCACCAUCUCUCACGCCUCAGCUCUCUCUCUCUCUCUCUCUCCACCAUCUCUCACGCCUCUCUUCAGCAUCUCUCACGCCUCAGCUCUCUCUCUCUCUCUCUCCCUUCACCAUCUCUCACGCCUCUCUUCACGAUCUCUCUCACACCUCUCUUCACCAUCUCUCACGAUCUCUCUUCUCCAUCUCUCACACCUCUCUUCACCAUCUCUCACGCCUCAGCUCUCUCAAAGGCCAGUUCUCUCUCUCUCUCUCUCUCCACCAUCUCUCUCCAUCUCUCUUAGCGUUUUGUGUUAGUAAUACAUGGGUACCAGACCUUGCAACUCUGUGUGUGUUCUACUUGGUUCUCCGAGCUCUUGAUACUAUCUUUUCAGAUUUGGACAUAAAUCACAACUAGACAGAAAGAAUGGCUAAUGAUAUGGUUAGGUGGUACUUGGAUCAGGACGAAUAUGAGGACGAUCUGCUUAAGCUAGAGAGAUAACUUCAAAAAAUAGAUCGAGGCGCUGGAUGGCAUCAUGUUCAGCAGCUUAUGCAGCUUACUAGUUUAUUUGAUUUGAGUUUGUACUGAUUUUUAUUAUUAGUUACUCGUAUGACCACUUUUCCUAUUGUUUAAAUCGAAAUCUUUGUAACAAUUGUGAGAGAGUUUAUGAUUUAGACCAAAAUGAUGGGAUUUUCUUAAUAAGGAAGCUCUUAUAAAAAGCUACAGUUUUUUUC
Brassica rapa (field mustard) is the source of this 1057-nucleotide long non-coding RNA. RefSeq lists it as uncharacterized. The record is from RefSeq and is a predicted model, not a curated record. Lineage: Eukaryota; Viridiplantae; Streptophyta; Magnoliopsida; Brassicales; Brassicaceae.